UCAGACGAUGCGUCAUGCAUAUCAAUAAGCGGAGGAAAAGAAACUAACAAGGAUUCCCCUAGUAACGGCGAGUGAAGCGGGAAGAGCUCAAAUUUGAAAUCUUAAAGGGUUUCCCUUUACGAAUUGUAGUUUAAAGAAGUGUUUUCUGUUGAGGUUUUGGUAAAAGUUCUUUGGAAUAGGACAUCAUAGAGGGUGAGAAUCCCGUAUUUGACCUUUACUUUCAACUUUGUGAUACACUUUCAAAGAGUCGGAUUGUUUGGGAAUGCAGUCCAAAAUGGGUGGUAAAUUUCAUCUAAAGCUAAAUAUUGGCGAGAGACCGAUAGCGAACAAGUACCGUGAGGGAAAGAUGAAAAGAACUUUGAAAAGAGAGUUAAACAGUACGUGAAAUUGUCAAAAGGGAAGCGUUUGACACCAGUGUUGUUUUUCUGAAAAUCAAUUAAAGAACUGUUUAUGCUAAGUUGUUUAGACUUUAUCAGCUAUCUGUUUAGUUUUGAGCUUUUCCUUUAAUGCACUUUUCAGUUAACAAGUCAACAUCAAUUUCUUUUGCUGUAAAAAAGCUUGAGGAAGGUGGCUUGAGAUUCGUCUUAAGUGUUUAUAGCCUCUUGCCUAUGCAGUCGGAGAGAUUGAGGUCUGCAGCGUAAAUCCUUCGGGGCUAAAUGCAUUUGUGCUAAGUUAUAGCAUUUUAUAGACAACUUGUUGACUAUGAUUUGUCUUGUAGCUUACUCGCUUAUGUUAUUUUACCUACGCUUAGGAUGUUGAAGUCAUCGUAUCGCGC
RNAcentral lists this ribosomal RNA (775 nucleotides) under uncultured Neocallimastigales. RNAcentral's name for it is "partial large subunit ribosomal RNA". It matches the Rfam family "Eukaryotic large subunit ribosomal RNA", at positions 18 to 645 of the family's 3401-position model. Lineage: Eukaryota; Fungi; Neocallimastigomycota; Neocallimastigomycetes; Neocallimastigales. The record is from RNAcentral.